GGUUCAACCCAAACCGGUGGGAAAAUUAUAUUUCCAAACGGUUCGAACCGGUGCCCAAAGUAAUAAAAAAACCGCCUUAAUUCGUGAAAUACUCUUCUUCUUCCUUCAGUUUAUUUCAUUCCCUUGCUUUCCCCUUCAAUUAAUCUUCCUUCUCUCGUUCUCGCCUACCCUCACCAUUGAUCUCCUUCACGCAUAGGUCCGAAUUUUCACCAUAGUUGUCCUCCAUUGAAGCGCAUUCUGAGCUUUCUCACCUCCAUUGCCGCGCAACUCCUCUCUUUCUAGCUCUCCUCCAUUGAAGCGCAUUCUGUCGAGCUUUAUGACCUCCAUUGAAGCGCAUUCCGAGCUUUCCAACUCCAUUGUAGCAGCUUCGAGUUAUCAAGCUUAAAGAUUCGGGCACGAAGACCCCAUUCAUUGCUAAAGCUUGUAUCUUGCGGAAAGUGUCUCUCUUUCAGGUCACCAAGGUUCCCAGAUAAGAAUGUUGGUCAGUUUCCAAUGGCAUGUGUAGUGAGGAAAGCUGGUAGUAACUUAUCAGAGCAUGAAAGCAUGGAUUUUGUAGCAAAACAGAUUCAUAUGUGAAUUGAAGCACAAGUUUAGCUUGAAGACUACAAAUUUAGCUCAAUUGUGCAAAACAAUCUUUGCAAGGUUCGUGAAGGCAAAGUGAGGUAGUCUUGAUUUAUGCUUAGGAUUUCUUGAGUGUUUACUAGUUUUUGAUUUUGAAUGACUUUUUUUUCCUUUCUUCAUUGUUAGGUUGCUGUAAACCAUCUUCGGCAAAUUAAGGUAUCUUCCAUAUGAUUUUGCCAUAUGAAGUCGACUUGGUGAAUGAGCAUGUUGUUUAGGCAAGUGUGAUGUAUCUUCCUAAUCAUUACUUUGAUAUCAACUUCAGAAUGGUGUUGCUUGCUCUGCCAAAUAAUCUCAAAAGUAUCUUAUAAUGUGGUCUUGGCUGUGAUUCUCUUACUUUGCCUGCAUUUGAUAUCUUGUUUUUUUUCCCCUGCCUUACCCCUUGAAAAGGGAGAACGAUAGUAGGGUGGAAUAUAGCCAAAUCAGGUGUUCUUGACUUGAAAUGUGUUUCUUAAGGAGCCAUUGUUUUAUGGACAUGAUAUAUAACUAUUUAGUUCCUGCUACUUCUGCGCGGCUGCUGUUGUAUGUGCUGCUAGUUAAUGUAGUUGUAGCUACCUGCUGCUGUUGUUUGUGCUGCUAGUUUAUUUCCCUUCCAUUUUCUAGAACUCACAACUCGAUUCUUUUUUUUUUUUUUUUUGUGCGUAUCUCUUAGCGGCUUCUCAUUUAUUGUAAAUCUUCAUAUUAUUACAUAUAUGGGGUGUUUGAACAUAUUCAACAGUGUGUGUGAGAGAUGAAGAGAAAGGGGAAGAGAGGAUUUUUUUAUCGUCUUCCUGUUGACAUUGGUUCUACAUGUAUUUAAACCUUCCCCCCCCCCCCCCUUUUUUAACUGUAUUUUACAUGUGGUCAGUCAAGGGACAAAAUUAGUUCUCGAGGGAAGACACAAUGCUGAUGUAGGAUGAAUGUCUGAGCUGAGACUGAGAGGAAAUGCUCAGAUUUUACCAAGAGUAGUCCUUGAAGCAGUGCCCAAGGACCUGCUCAGAAACAAGAAACACAGGAACAAAGCUAUUGACCUGCUUAUAACAGAGUGCAAGUAAGCAUAUUAUUCUGAAUUUUGUUCUUUCUAAGAUAUAAUUUUCAGCUUAGGUUUUUGGUUUGGAAGAAAGUCAAAAUGAGUACAGGAAUUUGGAUGCUGAUUAUAGAUGUCGAAUCAGGUGUGUAAAUUUUGUUCUUUCUAAUAUAUAGUUUUCAAUAGCCAUCUGAUCUUGAAAUUUAUUUUCUCCCUUUGCAUUAUCUUGCUCCAACUUUCAUCCCUCUUUGAUGUUUACUUAGUUAAUUACUCGUUUUCAGGCUGUUCUGACUUCUGGUUUGUUCUGACUUUUGGGAUUCAUUGGUUUGUUCUGACUUCUGGGAUUCAUUCUCCUUUUUGUGAGCAACUGUACAUCGAUAUCUCAAGUUCUGAAUUUAAUUCAUAUUAUGAGGCAGAAGUUCAGUGACAUCUUAACUGUGUACAUCGGAUAUUGUAGCUUUGGAAAGUUUUUUUUCAUGUCUGAUGUAGAUGAGUAAAGGUCGCUGCACUCGACUAACGCUAUGAUCGGAAUGCUUCUAAUGCCAGCUUAAUUAGUCUUAGUCUGCCGGAGAGCCUUUUGCAUGUCCAUGUUGUUUGUGCUUAUGUAACAUUGUAUAUUAUUUAUUUUUUUGAUGAAAAUUGUAAUAUU
Molecule: long non-coding RNA, 2273 nt
Organism: Chenopodium quinoa (quinoa)
Lineage: Eukaryota; Viridiplantae; Streptophyta; Magnoliopsida; Caryophyllales; Amaranthaceae
Exons: 7
Source: RefSeq, a predicted model, not a curated record